CAAUACCGCUGACGACCGGCGCACGGGUGAGUAACACGUAUCCAACCUUCCCAUAACUCGGGGAUAGCCUUUCGAAAGAAAGAUUAAUACCCGAUAGUACUUAAGAAAGGCAUCUUUUUUAAGUUAAGGAUUUAUUGGUUAUGGAUGGGGAUGCGUUCCAUUAGAUAGUUGGUGAGGUAACGGCUCACCAAGUCUUCGAUGGAUAGGGGUUCUGAGAGGAAGGUCCCCCACAUUGGUACUGAGACACGGACCAAACUCCUACGGGAGGCAGCAGUGAGGAAUAUUGGUCAAUGGGCGAGAGCCUGAACCAGCCAAGUAGCGUGAAGGAUGACGG
Molecule: ribosomal RNA, 334 nt
Filed under: uncultured Bacteroidales bacterium
Lineage: Bacteria; Pseudomonadati; Bacteroidota; Bacteroidia; Bacteroidales
Description: bacterial SSU rRNA
Rfam family: Bacterial small subunit ribosomal RNA
Source: RNAcentral